AGCUCCUGUUUCCGCUGCUCUGCUGCCUGCCCGGGGUACCAACAUGGCCCAGAAGCGUCCUGCCUGCACCCUGAAGCCUGAGUGUGUCCAGCAGCUGCUGGUUUGCUCCCAGGAGGCCAAGAAGUCAGCCUACUGCCCCUACAGUCACUUUCCUGUGGGGGCUGCCCUGCUCACCCAGGAGGGGAGAAUCUUCAAAGGGUGCAACAUAGAAAAUGCCUGCUACCCGCUGGGCAUCUGUGCUGAACGGACCGCUAUCCAGAAGGCCGUCUCAGAAGGGUACAAGGAUUUCAGGGCAAUUGCUAUCGCCAGUUUGGCACCAACUGGCCCGUGUACAUGACCAAGCCGGAUGGUACGUAUAUUGUCAUGACGGUCCAGGAGCUGCUGCCCUCCUCCUUUGGGCCUGAGGACCUGCAGAAGACCCAGUGACAGCCAGAGAAUGCCCUCCGCCUGUAACAGCCACCUGGAGAACUUCAUAAAGAUGUCUCACAGCCCUGGGGACACCUGCCCAGUGGGCCCCAGCCCUACAGGGACUGGGCAAAGAUGAUGUUUCCAGAUUACACUCCAGCCUGAGUCAGCACCCCUCCUAGCAACCUGCCUUGGGACUUAGAACACCGCCGCCCCCCUGCCCCACCUUUCCUUUCCUUCCUGUGGGCCCUCUUUCAAAGUCCAGCCUAGUCUGGACUGCUUCCCCAUCAGCCUUCCCAAGGUUCUAUCCUGUUCUGAGCAACUUUUCUAAUUAUAAACAUCACAGAACAUCCUGGA
This 762-nucleotide small RNA is filed under the name Pan troglodytes (chimpanzee). Its description in RNAcentral is "processed transcript". The record is from RNAcentral. Lineage: Eukaryota; Metazoa; Chordata; Mammalia; Primates; Hominidae.